UGAGACGAUAACACAAACACUCGUAUAUUUUCAGGAAUAUGGCUUGAAAGUUUCUACCUGCUACCGUUAUUAGCAGACUAUGAGGUGUAAUAUUGUAAAA
This is a regulatory RNA element of Clostridium butyricum, 100 nucleotides long. It matches the Rfam family "Purine riboswitch aptamer". From Rfam's summary of the family: Riboswitches are metabolite binding domains within certain messenger RNAs that serve as precision sensors for their corresponding targets. Lineage: Bacteria; Bacillati; Bacillota; Clostridia; Eubacteriales; Clostridiaceae. The record is from Rfam.